This 520-nucleotide ribosomal RNA is filed under the name uncultured Glomus. RNAcentral's name for it is "SSU rRNA". It matches the Rfam family "Eukaryotic small subunit ribosomal RNA", at positions 569 to 1090 of the family's 1831-position model. Lineage: Eukaryota; Fungi; Glomeromycota; Glomeromycetes; Glomerales; Glomeraceae. The record is from RNAcentral.
AGCAGCCGCGGUAAUUCCAGCUCCAAUAGCGUAUAUUAAAGUUGUUGCAGUUAAAAAGCUCGUAGUUGAAUUUCGGGGUCAGUAGGUCGGUCGUGCCACUGGUAUGCACUGACCUCACUGAUUCCUCCUUCUUGUAGAACCGUAAUGCCAUUAAGUUGGUGUUGCGGGGAAACAGGACUGUUACUUUGAAAAAAUUAGAGUGUUUAAAGCAAGCUAACGCUUGAAUACAUUAGCAUGGAAUAAUGAAAUAGGACGAACGAUCCUAUUUUGUUGGUUUCUAGGAUUGACGUAAUGAUUAAUAGGGAUAGUUGGGGGCAUUAGUAUUCAAUUGUCAGAGGUGAAAUUCUUGGAUUUAUUGAAGACUAACUACUGCGAAAGCAUUUGCCAAGGAUGUUUUCAUUAAUCAAGAACGAAAGUUAGGGGAUCGAAGACGAUCAGAUACCGUCGUAGUCUUAACCAUAAACUAUGCCGACUAGGGAUCGGAUGAUGUUAAUUUUAUAAUGACUCAUUCGGCGCCUUA